GUGAGCGAAGUAAACCACCCCGAAUAUUUCCUAUGCUAUUCGAGAAGCUGUCGUGUUUUUGUGCAAAUCAAGAUAUGAUUGGCCAUGUUAUAGAAAAAUGUGGGGAUGGGGUUCGUGAUCCAAAGAAGUUUUGGUUUGGCAGUUUUAUGAUGGUUCCAACCUAUAUGUGGUUCUAGCCUAGAAAUGAGUGAAUUGCUCAACCUUAUGGUAGCACUACUUCUGGAAGAGGUGACUGGGCUAGUAGGGCCUAGGUGGUCGUGGAGGGAAAAGUGGGCAUGACCCGACCCGAUGUAUGGGAAAAAUGGUUUUGACCCUGUGAAUGAAAAUGCAGGUACAUGCAAUGUCAAUGCAAACAAUGCUAGUUAAGGGCAUUCUGGUAUGUAGCAAACCUAGCGUCGGUCAAGGACCCUCCCUAGGCGCUAGGGUGAAAGGAAGUACAUAUCUUAUAGAAUACCAUUAUGUCAAAUAUGGGUUGAGCAACACAGCUGAGGGUUGCUCUUUGCAAGUUGAAGUGAAGAAAAGACAGAGGAUAAGGGGUGUGUGCCGCUUAUGCAAGCAUUUUCAUCGCUUCCCCAUAUCUCAUGUGCACUCUUCGUUCCUUGUCGAUUUGGCUUGGCAUCCUUCCACUGUUUGCGUGUUUUGUGCCACAGACUUGAUGAUGCACUCCACGUUCCCUUGUUGGGCGUCCGUGGCCUUGGCGACAGGUAGCGGCGUGCUCUUGGGCGCUUUGCUUCCUUGCAUAAGACGGAAACGGGGCCGACUGCCCGUGCUCUUGCUCCACCAGUGGUGGUGCUUGAGCUUGUGGCCAUGGUGGCAACCUGCAUGGGAGCAUGGGAUGUAGGAACAAAGCAGCACACAAUGCCUAGCCAAGCUGCCAGGCAAUCGAGAGUAUAGCAGAGGUGUGAGGGGAGGGGUGAAAACGUUGUCGGGAGCGGACCGCCGUCGCCGUCAGCCUUUGGACCCAAAGUCGAGCAGUGAGGUGAUUGUGAUUGGGGAAGCGAGGAAGAGGGCACUAUGAGCAGAAAGGAAUGAUUAACCACCGUGAUGGCGGACGGUUGUGGGUAGACCAGGUGUCUACACGUGGAUUUGCUAGAUGGGAUAUGACAUGACAUGGUUGUUGUGUCGUGAGGUGCCAUGGGAUAAGACAUGACACGGGAUAUAACUGACGUGUGGGUGUGUUUGGUUGUCGCCGGCAGGGCACUCUGCUAUGUGUGCUGCCACAUAGUCUGAGCUCCCUUGUGUGGCUUAGUGGUUGCAAACUUCUUACAAUGGAUAAGGCCUCACUACAAGGACAUAAAAUAUAUCCAUUUGUGUCGAGAGAAAUCAUCUUUAAAGAUAAUAUAGUAACGAUGGCUCCUUUCGAGGGAAGGGAGCCGGACCACAAACAUUAGAGUGAGCAAGAUCAAAAGGACGCUGAGAUAGUCUUGCUAUGAGCAUAGGGUAACUGGUGGAUGUGGAGCUUGGGCUAAAUGGCGUUCGGUACGGAAGUUUGUUCUAGUGCGAGUCAAUAUCAAACUAAAAAAAGACCUUUGAGGUUUUCAGGGACUGGUGAGCGAAGUAAACCACCCCGAAUGUUUCCUAUGCUAUUCGAGAAGCUGUCGUGUUUUUGUGCAAAUCAAGAUAUGAUUGGCCAUGUUAUAGAACAAUGUGGGGAUGGGGUUCGUGAUCCAAAGAAGUUUCGGUUUGGCAGUUUUAUGAUGGUUCCAACCUAUAUGUGGGUCUAGCCUAGAAUUGAGUUAAUUGCUCAACCUCGUGGUAGCACUACUUGUGGAAGAGGUGACUGGGCUAGUAGGGCCUAGGUGGUCGUGGAGGGAAAAGUGGGCAUGACCCGACCCGAUGUAUGAGAAAAAUGAUUAUGAACCUAUGAAUGAAAAUGCAGGUACAUGCAAUGUCAAUGCAAAUAAUGCUAGUUAAGGGGAUUCUGGUACGUAGCCAACCCAGCGUCGGUCAAGGAC
This 1955-nucleotide long non-coding RNA is filed under the name Hordeum vulgare. RNAcentral's name for it is "long non-coding RNA (HVUL_LNC001177)". The record is from RNAcentral. Lineage: Eukaryota; Viridiplantae; Streptophyta; Magnoliopsida; Poales; Poaceae.